UACGUAGGUGGCAAGCGUUGUCCGGAUUUACUGGGCGUAAAGAGCGCGCAGGCGGUCGGAUCAGUCGAAUGUGAAAGCCCCCGGCUCAACUGGGGAGGGUCAUUCGAUACUGUCCGACUCGAAGGCAGGAGAGGGAAGCGGAAUUCCCGGUGUAGUGGUGAAAUGCGUAGAUAUCGGGAGGAACACCAGUGGCGAAGGCGGCUUCUGGCCUGUUCU
Molecule: ribosomal RNA, 216 nt
Filed under: uncultured bacterium
Lineage: Bacteria
Description: partial 16S ribosomal RNA
Rfam family: Bacterial small subunit ribosomal RNA
Source: RNAcentral